UACGUAGGGUGCAAGCGUUGUCCGGAAUUAUUGGGCGUAAAGGGCGCGUAGGCGGCUUUGCAAGUGACGGGUGAAAGCCCUCGGCUUAACCGAGGAACUGCCUGUCAGACUGUAAGGCUUGAGACCGGGAGAGGUGAGUGGAAUUCCCAGUGUAGCGGUGAAAUGCGUAGAUAUUGGGAGGAACACCAGUGGCGAAGGCGGCUCACUGGACCGGAACUGACGCUGAGGCGCGAAAGCGUGGGGAGCAAACAGG
RNAcentral lists this ribosomal RNA (253 nucleotides) under uncultured bacterium. RNAcentral's name for it is "partial 16S ribosomal RNA". It matches the Rfam family "Bacterial small subunit ribosomal RNA", at positions 524 to 776 of the family's 1533-position model. The record is from RNAcentral.